UACGAAGGGGGCUAGCGUUGCUCGGAAUUACUGGGCGUAAAGGGCGCGUAGGCGGCCCUGUUAGUCAGGCGUGAAAUUCCUGGGCUCAACCUGGGGACUGCGCUUGAUACGGCAGAGCUUGAGGAUGGAAGAGGGUCGCGGAAUUCCCAGUGUAGAGGUGAAAUUCGUAGAUAUUGGGAAGAACACCGGUGGCGAAGGCGGCGACCUGGUCCAUUACUGACGCUGAGGCGCGACAGCGUGGGGAGCAAACAGG
This 253-nucleotide ribosomal RNA is filed under the name uncultured bacterium. RNAcentral describes it as "partial 16S ribosomal RNA". It matches the Rfam family "Bacterial small subunit ribosomal RNA", at positions 524 to 776 of the family's 1533-position model. The record is from RNAcentral.